AGGUUCUAAGAGUGAAAGGUUCUAAGAGUGAAAGGUUCUAAGAGUGAAAGGUAAACUCAUUUUGGACGAUGUAAUCUUCUGUUGCCUGAUGCUGCCGCUCUUAUGAUCAACAAUAACUGCGUUCUUAUUCAUUUCUAUUGAA
This is a non-coding RNA of Musa acuminata subsp. malaccensis (wild Malaysian banana), 142 nucleotides long. NCBI's taxonomy places the organism in Eukaryota, Viridiplantae, Streptophyta, Magnoliopsida, Zingiberales, Musaceae. The record is from RefSeq and is a predicted model, not a curated record.